CAGCCGCCGCGGGAAAACGAAGGGUGCAAGCGUUAAUCGGAAUUACUGGGCGUAAAGCGCGCGUAGGUGGUUUGGUAAGAUGGAUGUGAAAUCCCCGGGCUCAACCUGGGAACUGCAUCCAUAACUGCCUGACUAGAGUACGGUAGAGGGUGGUGGAAUUUCCUGUGUAGCGGUGAAAUGCGUAGAUAUAGGAAGGAACACCAGUGGCGAAGGCGACCACCUGGACUGAUACUGACACUGAGGUGCGAAAGCGUGGGGAGCAAACAGGAUUAGAUACCCCUGUAGUCCCUGUCUCUUAUAC
This 301-nucleotide ribosomal RNA is filed under the name uncultured bacterium. Its description in RNAcentral is "partial 16S ribosomal RNA". It matches the Rfam family "Bacterial small subunit ribosomal RNA", at positions 509 to 807 of the family's 1533-position model. The record is from RNAcentral.